UACGGGGGGGGCAAGCGUUGUUCGGAAUUACUGGGCGUAAAGGGCUCGUAGGCGGCCAACUAAGUCAGACGUGAAAUCCCUCGGCUUAACCGGGGAACUGCGUCUGAUACUGGAUGGCUUGAAUCCGGGAGAGGGAUGCGGAAUUCCAGGUGUAGCGGUGAAAUGCGUAGAUAUCUGGAGGAACACCGGUGGCGAAGGCGGCAUCCUGGACCGGCAUUGACGCUGAGGUGCGAAAGCGUGGGGAGCAAACAGG
This 253-nucleotide ribosomal RNA is filed under the name uncultured bacterium. Its description in RNAcentral is "partial 16S ribosomal RNA". It matches the Rfam family "Bacterial small subunit ribosomal RNA", at positions 524 to 776 of the family's 1533-position model. The record is from RNAcentral.